Molecule: ribosomal RNA, 973 nt
Filed under: uncultured archaeon
Lineage: Archaea
Description: partial 16S ribosomal RNA
Rfam family: Archaeal small subunit ribosomal RNA
Source: RNAcentral
ACGGCUCAGUAACACGUGGACAACUUACCCUUAGGUCUGGGAUAACCCCGGGAAACUGGGAAUAAUACCGGAUAUGUCGCAAAUGCUGGAAUGCAUUGCGAUACAAAGCUCCGACGCCUAAGGAUGGGUCUGCGGCCUAUCAGGGUAGUAGUGGGUGUAAUGUACCUACUAGCCUACGACGGGUACGGGUUGUGAGAGCAAGAGCCCGGAGAUGGAUUCUGAGACACGAAUCCAGGCCCUACGGGGUGCAGCAGGCGCGAAAACUUUACAAUGCUGGAAACAGCGAUAAGGGGACCUCGAGUGCCAGGAUACAAUCCUGGCUGUCGUGAUGCCUAAAAAGCAUUAUAUAGCAAGGGCCGGGCAAGACCGGUGCCAGCCGCCGCGGUAACACCGGCGGCUCGAGUGGUAACCGUUAUUAUUGGGUCUAAAGGGUCUGUAGCCGGCUAGAUAAGUCUCUUGAGAAAUCUGGCAGCUUAACUGUCAGGCUUUCAGGGGAUACUGUCUGGCUCGAGACCGGAAGAGGUGAGAGGUACCUCAGGGGUAGGGGUGAAAUCUUGUAAUCCUUGAGGGACCACCAGUGGCGAAGGCGUCUCACCAGGACGGAUCUGACGGCAAGGGACGAAAGCUAGGGGCACGAACCGGAUUAGAUACCCGGGUAGUCCUAGCCGUAAACGAUACUCGCUAGGUGUCGGCCACGGUGCGACCGUGGUCGGUGCCGUAGGGAAGCCGUGAAGCGAGCCACCUGGGAAGUACGGCCGCAAGGCUGAAACUUAAAGGAAUUGGCGGGGGAGCACUACAACGGGUGGAGCUUGCGGUUUAAUUGGAUUCAACGCCGGAAAUCUCACCGGGACCGACAGCAAUAUGAAGGCCUAGGCUGAAGACCUUGCCGGAUUAGCUGAGAGGUGGUGCAUGGCCGUCGUCAGUUCGUACUGUGAAGCAUCCUGUUAAGUCAGGCAACGAGCGAGACCCGUAC